GAGAGGUCCAGGGCUCGCUGCUGAGAGCCAAGCCUGUUCUCCGCUCGGCAGGUGUAGCGCCCUGAAUCCCCAGCCUUCACCCCGGGCAGCUCCAGCCCCAGGGGUCUGGGGCCCCAGGGAUGGGACGAGGAGAGGACUCUAUCCUGCAGGACCCAGCUCAGUGUGGCAGGGGGCUGGCUGUCAGCAGCACAGAGGAGCCGCAGGAACUGGCCUUUCUGGGCUUCCAGGGCUGCGGCGGCAUCCUGGGACCCCACAGCUUCCUCUCCCUGGAUGCUCCUGAGCUGGGAGCCACUCACUGCCCCUCUGGGCUCCUCCCACCACCUACCCACCGGGUCUGUCUGAAUGCCCCACCCUCCCAGGCCAUGCUCACAGGCCACGCGGAGUCGGACCGUCCUCUGUGCGCUCACACCCUUUCUGGAGAAGUCCACAUGGCAGCUUCCUCUCUCCACCCGAAAGAAGUACUGUGACUCAUCCUGCAUCUGCGCAUCUCUGAUCACCAAGGAGCAGUUCCCCUUGGCAGGAUCCCCAGUGAGCUGGAAUCGGCCCCGGGUGCUCAUUUCCACCUCUCGAUUCUGGUGGUUUGUCGCCACUGGAGCACCCUUGCUUGUCUCAGUCACUGCUUUGAACCAGUAGCCAUAAGCUGGGGUAGACUCUGUCCAGUCCUUUCGGGGGUAGGAGAAAGAGCAGGGCACAGAGAUGCACAGGCCCUCCGGCACCAUCACCGACUCC
This 729-nucleotide non-coding RNA is filed under the name Pongo abelii (Sumatran orangutan). The record is from RNAcentral. Lineage: Eukaryota; Metazoa; Chordata; Mammalia; Primates; Hominidae.